This 497-nucleotide ribosomal RNA is filed under the name uncultured bacterium. RNAcentral describes it as "partial 16S ribosomal RNA". It matches the Rfam family "Bacterial small subunit ribosomal RNA", at positions 28 to 507 of the family's 1533-position model. The record is from RNAcentral.
GAUGAACGCUGGCGGCAUGCCUAAUACAUGCAAGUCGAGCGAACAGACGAGGAGCUUGCUCCUCUGACGUUAGCGGCGGACGGGUGAGUAACACGUGGAUAACCUACCUAUAAGACUGGGAUAACUUCGGGAAACCGGAGCUAAUACCGGAUAAUAUAUUCAACCGCAUGGUUCAAUAGUGAAAGACGGUUUUGCUGGCACUUAUAUAUGGAUCCGCGCCGCAUUAGCUAGUUGGUAAGGUAACGGCUUACCAAGGCAACGAUGCUUAGCCGACCUGAGAGGGUGAUCGGCCACACUGGAACUGAGACACGGUCCAGACUCCUACGGGAGGCAGCAGUAGGGAAUCUUGCGCAAUGGGCGAAAGCCUGACGGAGCAAUGCCGCGUGAGUGAUGAAGGUCUUCGGAUCGUAAAACUCUGUUAUUAGGGAAGAACAACUGUGUAAGUAACUAUGCACGUCUUGACGGUACCUAAUCAGAAAGCCACGGCUAACUCCGUG